UUGAUACUCACAUUUUAACAUGAUUUUUCUAAAAAAAAAAAAAAAUUGUAUGGAUAAUCAAGUAAACCUAAGUUGCUUCAGUCCAAUAAGUGUUCAUCUUGAAAUAUUACUAACAAUGCAAAAGUUAUUCUCACACUUAUUAUGUAUGUUAAAAUCAGUAAAGACACGUGAACCACAACCUGAUGGUGGAUAUUGUUACACUAAAAGGCUUUUUACCUGUGAAGUAUAAAUUAGCAGAUGAUUGGUUUUCCUCAAAGUUUUGAUCAUUUAGAGGCCUUAGAAAUGUGUGCAUCAAAUACAGUGACUUUAUAUAAAAGGCUUUAUAGGGUUAAUAAGGGCUAGAUUAUAUUCUAUACUUUUAAUGUUUUUCAAGGUUUAUUGCACCAAAACCAGUCGUAGUUUAGUUUUUCACCCUCUCUCUGACCCUCAGAGUUAAAUAGUCCCUUUUGCUACUGUACCUUUAAGACUUGACCUUGGUUAAAGAAAUGGUUAACCCAAAAAUUAAAAUUCACAACCAAACAAAACUUUCCAGUUUGAGUAUGCUGAAUGGCAUUUAAAGGGGAAGAUCUUUAGUCAAUAACAACCACAACAAAGCUAUAUGACUUGGGAAAAAUAUGCAUAUGACUUGAAAAACCUGUGCAUUAGUGCAGUGACACCUUAGUUUUAAUCUCAAACUGAGCAAAAACUAUGCAGUUUGGUUCAGUUGCUGAUAUUUGUUUACAAGGUCAAAAAUGAGUGCAAUGAUAUAUGUGUGUGUGUGUGUGUGUGUGUGUGUGUGUGUGUGUGUGUGUGUGUGUGUGUGUGUGUGUGUGUGUGUGUGUGUAGACUUCAGCAGGAGUGUGUGGAAGCGGCUCGCAUAGCGGAGGAUCUGGCCCGGCAGGCUGCAGAAUUGGCCGUCAGACAGCUGGAGGAAGAGCAAACCACACAGAUCAUCAUCGACACGAAAACAGAAGAGCUGGACAAUGAGGAUCAGAGCCUGGUGGACGUCUGCCCUGCGGAGCCCUCGCCACAUGAGUCUGAGGUUUCAGAUCAGGCACUACAAGCAGAUCCGGUCUCACCGCUCGUGACCACUCAGCCUCAGCGUGCCACAUCUUUACCUCCUGAUGCUGACCAGGAAGAGGAACCUCCUGAAGAAGGAUGUGGAGUGCCUGCUAGCUGUUCUGGCAUAAAGAGCUGGAUUCUUCGCAUCCCCCAUGCUUCCACAUGUCUGAGCAGCUUACACCUGCUGAAAAACAAUAAUGUUCCCCUGCCCAAGAUGCCCUCCGAUCUCCUGCUGCUAUACCAGGAGAUAUCCCAGCUUCCAAAACAAGCCAACCAGUGCUUCCAGAACGUUAUCCAUCGCCUCAACAUCCUCAAGCCCAUGUAGAACUCCUCAGCAGCAGUAUGUAGUCUUGGAGUUAGAAUCUGUAGCUAGUGGAUUUUAUUCUUAAAACACCCAAGAGACCCACUGUCAUCCCAAGCCAAAGUGCCCUAAAAUCCAGAUCAUCCCAUGCUUGACACCUAUAGACAUGAUUUUGAAGUGCCCUACAGUUACAGAAAGAAACCAAACCUCCAGCAAUCUCUCAGGUGAACUGACUGUGCUAGAUAGCGCUGUGCUGUGCUGUGCUGUGCUGUCUGUUAUGUGCAAGUUAUUUGUUGCUAAUACAAGUACCAAUAUUACUAUUGUUCACACUUAAGGUUAGGGCUUUUUCAAAACUCUACCACAUAGUGUGCACUAUUGACAUGAAUAUUACCUCCAAUAUUGCAUCCUGUUGAGGAGAAAUGUACUGGACAAUAAAAAAAAUAAAUAAAUAAAAAUGGGUCAUAUUAAUAUAGCCGGCAAUAUUAAAUGAUAGACAUUUCAAAAUAAGAGUCAUGGUGUAUUUUUAGGCUUGUUUAUUAUUAAAAGUCCUGCAUUAUCAUACUUUUUUUUUUUUCCUUGGUUAUUAUCGGUAAUUUGGUCCGUCUUCGUUUCAGGCGUUUAAAGGGGGGUGAUUCUCCAUACCCACUGUACGUGUGUGUGUGUGUGUGUGUGUGUGUGUGUGUGUGUGUGUGUGUGUGUGUGUGUGUGUGUGUGUGUGUGUGUAGACACACACUACACACACACACACACAAUUUAUACAGCUUACAAUAGGUCUAUAAAUAUUUAAACAAAUAUUAAAUACAGUUUGAUGCCUGGUGUGCUUCUUGUAUUUUUAAUAAAGGUACAAUUUUCUUCUAUAAAUUUUCAUUGUGCCUCUAAAGUUUUGUAAUGUGCUCCUAAAUUGUUUUAUUUAGUCGCCCAUGUGCUCCUUUGGGGACAAAAGUCAGUAUAAAGCCCUGAUCUGAGAAAUCAUGGAAAAAAGUGGGGGGAAAAGUGAAAGUGAAAAUGUGAAUGUUCAACUUUCGUGUUUUAAGAUUUAUUAUCCACAGGUGUG
This is a long non-coding RNA of Sinocyclocheilus grahami, 2396 nucleotides long. The record is from Ensembl. NCBI's taxonomy places the organism in Eukaryota, Metazoa, Chordata, Actinopteri, Cypriniformes, Cyprinidae.